AACGCUAGCUACAGGCUUAACACAUGCAAGUCGAGGGGAAACGACAUCGAAAGCUUGCUUUUGAUGGGCGUCGACCGGCGCACGGGUGAGUAACGCGUAUCCAACCUGCCCACCACUUGGGGAUAACCUUGCGAAAGUAAGACUAAUACCCAAUGAUAUCCCACGAAGGCAUCCGAAUGGGAUUAAAGAUUUAUCGGUGAUGGAUGGGGAUGCGUCUGAUUAGCUUGUUGGCGGGGUAACGGCCCACCAAGGCGACGAUCAGUAGGGGUUCUGAGAGGAAGGUCCCCCACAUUGGAACUGAGACACGGUCCAAACUCCUACGGGAGGCAGCAGUGAGGAAUAUUGGUCAAUGGCCGUAAGGCUGAACCAGCCAAGUAGCGUGCAGGAUGACGGCCCUAUGGGUUGUAAACUGCUUUUAAACGGGGAUAAAGUGAGCCACGUGUGGUUUAUUGCAGGUACCGUUUGAAUAAGGACCGGCUAAUUCCGUGCCAGCAGCCGCGGUAAUACGGAAGGUCCAGGCGUUAUCCGGAUUUAUUGGGGUUAAAGGGAGCGUAGGCGGAGCGUCAAGCCAGCAGUGAAAUGUAGCGGCCCAACCGCUGCACUGCUGUUGGAACUGGCGCCCUUGAGUGCACACGAGGUAUGCGGAAUUUGUGGUGUAGCGGUGAAAUGCUUAGAUAUCACGAAGAACUCCGAUUG
RNAcentral lists this ribosomal RNA (696 nucleotides) under uncultured bacterium. RNAcentral describes it as "bacterial SSU rRNA". It matches the Rfam family "Bacterial small subunit ribosomal RNA", at positions 32 to 715 of the family's 1533-position model. The record is from RNAcentral.